RNAcentral lists this long non-coding RNA (385 nucleotides) under Helianthus annuus (common sunflower). RNAcentral's name for it is "sRNA HanXRQr2_Chr09g0390621". Lineage: Eukaryota; Viridiplantae; Streptophyta; Magnoliopsida; Asterales; Asteraceae. The record is from RNAcentral.
AUGGAAUCCAAUUCUUUCACCAAUAACCAGAUCUUCCCAUGGAAUUUCACAGUCUCCAACAUCAUCUAUAACAGGAUCAAUCUGAGGUGGAACCGAUGAGGUUGAGCUUUCAGGUAUUGCCAACGUUUGGUUGUUUAGAUAUUCCGAGGUCUUUUUAACGUCUUGCCCGCUGAUCACAUGCACUUUCUCCUGGUCCAACCUCUUAUUCCUGGGGAACGCAUUGCUAUUAUUACCUACCACCUCUAAAGACAAUCUAUAGUUUUUCCACUCAGCCCAUGCAGCUUCAGACUCAGAUGCAUUUGAAGAAACACUCUCAUUAUUUUCACUGGUGGAGGCCGGCAUGGUAAAAUCAUUAGUUACACGUUUGUAUUCUUCAUGCUCCUUU